Molecule: small nuclear RNA, 142 nt
Filed under: Medicago truncatula (barrel medic)
Lineage: Eukaryota; Viridiplantae; Streptophyta; Magnoliopsida; Fabales; Fabaceae
Description: U4 spliceosomal RNA
Rfam family: U4 spliceosomal RNA
About the family: U4 small nuclear RNA (U4 snRNA) is a component of the major U2-dependent spliceosome. The structure of U4 snRNA from yeast and human has been reported.
Source: Rfam by way of RNAcentral
AUCUUUGCGCUUGGGGCAAUGACGCAGCUAAUGAGGUACUAACCGAGGCGCGUCUAUUGCUGGUUGAAAACUAUUUCCAAACCCCCUCUAGGCUUAGGGUAGCUUAAGCCUUUGAGAAUUUUUGGAAGGACUCCCUUUGGGG